GACGAACGCUGGCGGCGUGCUUAACACAUGCAAGUCGAACGGUGAAGCGCCUUCCUUUUUGGUGGGUGUGGAUGAGUGGCGAACGGGUGAGUAACACGUGAGUAACCUGCCCCCUUCUUCUGGAUAACCGCAUGAAAGUGUUGCUAAUACGGGAUAUUCUGGGUCUGUCGCAUGAUGGGUCUGGGAAAGAUAUUGUUUCGGUGGGGGAUGGGCUCGCGGCCUAUCAGCUUGUUGGUGGGGUGAUGGCCUACCAAGGCGGUGACGGGUAGCCGGCCUGGGAGGGUGGACGGUCACACUGGGACUGAGACACGGCCCAGACUCCUACGGGAGGCAGCAGUGGGGAAUAUUGCACAAUGGGCGCAAGCCUGAUGCAGCGACGCCGCGUGAGGGAUGGAGGCCUUCGGGUUGUGAACCUCUUUCGCCAGUGAAGCAGGCCUGCCUCGUUUGUGGGUGGGUUGACGGUAGCUGGAUAAGAAGCGCCGGCUAACUACGUG
Molecule: ribosomal RNA, 494 nt
Filed under: uncultured bacterium
Lineage: Bacteria
Description: partial 16S ribosomal RNA
Rfam family: Bacterial small subunit ribosomal RNA
Source: RNAcentral